CCUACGGGAGGCAGCAGUGGGGGAUAUUGCACAAUGGGCGGAACCCUGAUGCAGCGACGCCGCGUGGGUGAAGACGCGCCUCGGCGCGUAAAGCCCUGUCAGCAGGGAAGAAAAUGACGGUACCUGAAGAAGAAGCCCCGGCUAACUACGGGCCAGCAGCCGCUGUAAUACGUAGGGGGCACGCGUUAUCCGGAUUUACUGGGUGUAAAGGGGGCGCAGAGGGCGAUGCAAGCCAGGAGGGAAAGCCCGGGGGCCAACCCCGGGACUGCUCUUGGAACUGCGGGGCUGGAGUGGAGGAGGGGGAGGCGGAAUGCGUGGUGUAGCGGUGAAAUGCGUAGAUAUCAGGCGGAACACCGGUGGCGAAGGCGGCCUGCUGGACUGCAACUGACGUUGAGGCCCGAAAGCGUGGGGAGCGAACAGGAUUAGAUACCCUGGUAGUC
Molecule: ribosomal RNA, 440 nt
Filed under: uncultured bacterium
Lineage: Bacteria
Description: partial 16S ribosomal RNA
Rfam family: Bacterial small subunit ribosomal RNA
Source: RNAcentral